RNAcentral lists this ribosomal RNA (556 nucleotides) under uncultured Glomeromycotina. RNAcentral's name for it is "SSU rRNA". It matches the Rfam family "Eukaryotic small subunit ribosomal RNA", at positions 548 to 1098 of the family's 1831-position model. Lineage: Eukaryota; Fungi; Glomeromycota. The record is from RNAcentral.
UUGGAGGGCAAGUCUGGUGCCAGCAGCCGCGGUAAUUCCAGCUCCAAUAGCGUAUAUUAAAGUUGUUGCAGUUAAAAAGCUCGUAGUUGAAUUUCGGGAUUGGCGCAUCGGUCGUGCCUUACGGGGUAUGAACUGGUGCAGUCAAUUUCUCACCUUCUGGAGAACCGCGAUGUCCUUAAUUGGGUGCCGCGGGGAACCAGGACCUUUACUUUGAAAAAAUUAGAGUGUUUAAAGCAGGCAUUUUUGCUUGAAUACAUUAGCAUGGAAUAAUAAAAUAGGACGGCAUGGUUCUAUUUUGUUGGUUUCUAGGACCACCGUAAUGAUUAAUAGGGAUAGUUGGGGGCAUUAGUAUUCAAUUGUCAGAGGUGAAAUUCUUGGAUUUAUUGAAGACUAACUACUGCGAAAGCAUUUGCCAAGGAUGUUUUCAUUAAUCAAGAACGAAAGUUAGGGGAUCGAAGACGAUCAGAUACCGUCGUAGUCUUAACCAUAAACUAUGCCGACUAGGGAUCGGAUGAUGUUAAUUUUUUAAUGACUCAUUCGGCGCCUUACGGGAAAC